GAGCCCGCGUUCCAUUAGCUAGUUGGUGAGGUAACGGCUCACCAAGGCGACGAUGGGUAGCCGACCUGAGAGGGUGAUCGGCCACACUGGAACUGAGACACGGUCCAGACUCCUACGGGAGGCAGCAGUGGGGAAUAUUGCACAAUGGGCGAAAGCCUGAUGCAGCAACGCCGCGUGAGCGAUGAAGGCCUUCGGGUCGUAAAGCUCUGUCCUAAGGGAAGAUAAUGACGGUACCUUAGGAGGAAGCCCCGGCUAACUACGUGCCAGCAGCCGCGGUAAUACGUAGGGGGCAAGCGUUAUCCGGAAUCACUGGGCGUACAGGGUGCGUAGGCGGCUGAUAAAGUCCGAGGUGAAAGGCUACGGCUUAACCGUAGUAAGCCUUGGAAACUUAUCGGCUUGAGUACAGGAGAGGAAAGUGGAAUUCCUAGUGUAGCGGUGAAAUGCGUAGAUAUUAGGAGGAACACCAGUGGCGAAGGCGACUUUCUGGACUGUUACUGACGCUGAGGCACGAAAGCGUGAGGAGCGAACAGGAUUAGAUACCCUGGUAGUCCACGCCGUAAACGAUGAAUGCUAGGUGUCGGGG
Molecule: ribosomal RNA, 583 nt
Filed under: uncultured bacterium
Lineage: Bacteria
Description: bacterial SSU rRNA
Rfam family: Bacterial small subunit ribosomal RNA
Source: RNAcentral